UAACACUUGUGCUAAACGAAA
RNAcentral lists this non-coding RNA (21 nucleotides) under Caenorhabditis elegans. The record is from RNAcentral. Lineage: Eukaryota; Metazoa; Nematoda; Chromadorea; Rhabditida; Rhabditidae.